Molecule: ribosomal RNA, 512 nt
Filed under: uncultured bacterium
Lineage: Bacteria
Description: partial 16S ribosomal RNA
Rfam family: Bacterial small subunit ribosomal RNA
Source: RNAcentral
GAUGAACGCUGGCGGCGUGCCUAAUACAUGCAAGUCGAACGAAACUUCUUUAUCACCGAGUGCUUGCACUCACCGAUAAAGAGUUGAGUGGCGAACGGGUGAGUAACACGUGGGCAACCUGCCCAAAAGAGGGGGAUAACACUUGGAAACAGGUGCUAAUACCGCAUAACCAUAGUUACCGCAUGGUAACUAUGUAAAAGGUGGCUAUACUACCGCUUUUGGAUGGGCCCGCGGCGCAUUAGCUAGUUGGUAGGGUAAAGGCUUACCAAGGCAAUGAUGCGUAGCCGAAUUGAGAGGUUGAUCGGCCACAUUGGGACUGAGACACGGCCCAAACUCCUACGGGAGGCAGCAGUAGGGAAUCUUCCACAAUGGGCGAAAGCCUGGUGGAGCAACGCCGCGUGGGUGAAGAAGGUCUUCGGAUCGUAAAACCCUGUUGUUAGAGAAGAAAGUGCGUGAAAGUAACUGUUCACGUUUCGACGGUAUCUAACCAGAAAGCCACGGCUAACUACGUG